Molecule: ribosomal RNA, 435 nt
Filed under: uncultured bacterium
Lineage: Bacteria
Description: bacterial SSU rRNA
Rfam family: Bacterial small subunit ribosomal RNA
Source: RNAcentral
UACGGGAGGCAGCAGUGGGGAAUAUUGCACAAUGGGCGCAAGCCUGAUGCAGCGACGCCGCGUGGGGAUGACGGCCUUCGGGUUGUAAACUCCUUUCGCAACCGACGAAGCUUUUGUGACGGUAGGUUGAGAAGAAGCACCGGCUAACUACGUGCCAGCAGCCGCGGUAAUACGUAGGGUGCGAGCGUUGUCCGGAAUUACUGGGCGUAAAGAGCUCGUAGGUGGUUUGUCGCGUCGUUUGUGGAAUACCGCAGCUUAACUGCGGGGUUGCAGGCGAUACGGGCAUAACUUGAGUGCUGUAGGGGAGACUGGAAUUCCUGGUGUAGCGGUGGAAUGCGCAGAUAUCAGGAGGAACACCGAUGGCGAAGGCAGGUCUCUGGGCAGUAACUGACGCUGAGGAGCGAAAGCAUGGGGAGCGAACAGGGAUUAGAUACC